GACACGCUCCUUAGAUCCACAUCUGGAGGGGCUGUGCUCUGAGCUGGGCUCCUCAACAGCUUCCUGGCUGUACAGUUGGAUGUGCUUGAGUCAUUGGCGUGUUAGAACAGUCCACCUGUCCCCUAGCCCACCUGUAACACUGACAGCCCUGUCCUCCUGAGACAGAGAGUUCCCAGUGCUGCAAUCCUAGGGGACGGACACA
This 202-nucleotide small nucleolar RNA is filed under the name Mola mola (ocean sunfish). Its description in RNAcentral is "Small nucleolar RNA SNORA53 (ENSMMOG00000007298.1)". It matches the Rfam family "Small nucleolar RNA SNORA53". Rfam says of the family: The snoRNA ACA53 belongs to the H/ACA family of pseudouridylation guide snoRNAs. The record is from Rfam by way of RNAcentral. Lineage: Eukaryota; Metazoa; Chordata; Actinopteri; Tetraodontiformes; Molidae.